Molecule: ribosomal RNA, 251 nt
Filed under: uncultured bacterium
Lineage: Bacteria
Description: partial 16S ribosomal RNA
Rfam family: Bacterial small subunit ribosomal RNA
Source: RNAcentral
CUUUUGCUGGCGACCGGCGCACGGGUGAGUAACACAUAUCCAACCUGCCCUUUACUCGGGGAUAGCCUUUCGAAAGAAAGAUUAAUACCCGAUAGCAUAAUGAUUCCGCAUGGUUUCAUUAUUAAAGGAUUCCGGUAAAGGAUGGGGAUGCGUUCCAUUAGGUUGUUGGUGAGGUAACGGCCCACCAAGCCUUCGAUGGAUAGGGGUUCUGAGAGGAAGGUCCCCCACAUUGGAACUGAGACACGGUCCAA